ACAAGCGGUGGAGUAUGUGGUUUAAUUCGAUGCAACGCGAAGAACUUACCUGGUCUUGACAUCCCGGAGACCCUUAGGAAACUAGGGGUGCUUCCAUCUGGAAGAAUCUGGAGACAGGUGCUGCAUGGCUGUCGUCAGCUCGUGUCGUGAGAUGUUGGGUUAGGUCCCGCAACGAGCGCAACCCUUGCCUUUAGUUGCCAGCAGUUCGGCUGGGCACUCUAAAGGGACUGCCGGUGUUAAACCGGAGGAAGGUGGGGAUGACGUCAAGUCCUCAUGGCCUUUAUGACCAGGGCUACACACGUACUACAAUGGCCGAUACAAAGGGCAGCGACACUGCGAGGUGAAGCCAAUCCCGUAAAAUCGGUCUCAGUCCGGAUUGGAGUCUGCAACUCGACUCCAUGAAGUUGGAAUCGCUAGUAAUCGUGGAUCAGCAUGCCACGGUGAAUACGUUCCCGGGCCUU
RNAcentral lists this ribosomal RNA (461 nucleotides) under uncultured Desulfobulbus sp. RNAcentral describes it as "bacterial SSU rRNA". It matches the Rfam family "Bacterial small subunit ribosomal RNA", at positions 925 to 1382 of the family's 1533-position model. The record is from RNAcentral. Lineage: Bacteria; Pseudomonadati; Thermodesulfobacteriota; Desulfobulbia; Desulfobulbales; Desulfobulbaceae.